UAUUAUACUAAUAAAUAUAAUAAACCUAAAUUAUUAAUAGUUACAUUCUUUAAAUUUGAAGAAUUUGGCGGUGAUUUAGUCUUGUUAGAGGAACCUGUCUUUGGAUCGAUACACCACGUGGAAUCUUACUCAUUUUAUUUAGUUUAUAUACCGUCAUUAUCAGAUAAUUUUAAAAAAAUUAAUUAUUAAAGUUUAAAAAUUGAAUUAGGUUAAAUUAGAUCAAGGUGUAGCUUAUAGAUGAGUUAAGAUGGGUUACAAUAAACUUUAUUUAUACGGAGUAGUCACAAGAAAAAUACUAUGAAGGAGGAUUUAAUUGUAAUAUAGAUUUAAUAAGUCUAAAAGAUAUAAGCUCUAAAUCAU
This 360-nucleotide ribosomal RNA is filed under the name Etisus maculatus. Its description in RNAcentral is "partial 12S ribosomal RNA". The record is from RNAcentral. Lineage: Eukaryota; Metazoa; Arthropoda; Malacostraca; Decapoda; Xanthidae.